CGCCAGACUCCUACGGGAGGCAGCAGUGGGGGAUAUUGCACAAUGGGGGAAACCCUGAUGCAGCGACGCCGCGUGAGCGAUGAAGUAUUUCGGUAUGUAAAGCUCUAUCAGCAGGGAAGAAGAUGACGGUACCUGACUAAGAAGCCCCGGCUAACUACGUGCCAGCAGCCGCGGUAAUACGUAGGGGGCAAGCGUUAUCCGGAUUUACUGGGUGUAAAGGGAGCGUAGACGGCGAUGCAAGCCAGAUGUGAAAGCCCGGGGCUCAACCCCGGGACUGCAUUUGGAACUGUGUGGCUGGAGUGUCAGAGAGGCAGGCGGAAUUCCUAGUGUAGCGGCGAAAUGCGUAGAUAUUAGGAGGAACGCCAGUGGCGAAGGCGGCCUGCUGGACGAUGACUGACGUUGAGGCUCGAAAGCGUGGGGAGCAAACAGGAUUAGAUACCCCAGUACCG
Molecule: ribosomal RNA, 449 nt
Filed under: uncultured bacterium
Lineage: Bacteria
Description: bacterial SSU rRNA
Rfam family: Bacterial small subunit ribosomal RNA
Source: RNAcentral